UUUUUGGCGCUACAGUUGCUGCUGGAGGAUGUGGUCCGGCUGCGGGGGUCCUCGCGGCGCACCAAGGCGAGACGCUCUGGUGACAAGUAGCGGCGGACACUGCUAAAAGAGAGCACACAGGUCUUGGAGAGCCUGGGGGUCCCGGCCUUGUGCUUUACCUGCGCCCGAAGGUCGCCUCCUUCUUGGGAGAGGAUGGGGACGUGGCAUAGCCACCCACGCGCCGCGGGGGUCCCGAGCCAUUAAGGGGCGUCCUGGUGGGAAGGCCUUUCAAGAGCUGACACACUGGAGGGAUGGGGUUAGGGGACAGAAGAGGGUGAGUAUGAGGACCAGGCCCCGGUCCUCCCCAUCCCACCCCUCCAGUCUAACGGGGAUACCCGAGGCAGUGGUGCCUAAGCGCGGAGGCGCCCGGCCCUUGGGGGUGCCCCGCGCGCGUAGCGCUGCUCCCUGUUCUUCGCACGCCCGCAGGCGACGCAGAGCAUCCGCCAGCGCCGCCUUUAGGACCGCCAGCUCGUCUUCCUGUAACUGCAGCCGCUGCUCCAGCGCCGACACGCGGUCGUCCACUUCCAUACCGCUCGUGCCCGACAAAUUGUCAUCUGGA
This 598-nucleotide small RNA is filed under the name Pongo abelii (Sumatran orangutan). Its description in RNAcentral is "retained intron". The record is from RNAcentral. Lineage: Eukaryota; Metazoa; Chordata; Mammalia; Primates; Hominidae.